UAUCCUUCUGAAUGACCAAUG
This 21-nucleotide non-coding RNA is filed under the name Caenorhabditis elegans. Lineage: Eukaryota; Metazoa; Nematoda; Chromadorea; Rhabditida; Rhabditidae. The record is from RNAcentral.